GAUUCCAGAAAAAAACGUUACGAUCUCCAGAGGGUAGGAUGGCGACACGCCCCACCUCCAGUGGACAAAAGAGCGCUGUCACAAGGCAUCGGGCCACACCCUAGAACUGGUCCACGCCUCACUGUGGCGCGCCUCCAGUAAGGUUCACCGUCACAGAAACCCGUUGUGUGACCCUCCUUCCCUCCCCGUGGUGUUCAGAGAGUGUCGUGUCCCCCAGUGUGUCAGGAAAGACUGUCGGCCACACACUAACCCUAACCGUCCCACAUCCCAGGCCCAGGAUGGACUUCCCAGUGCUGUUUCCCAACUGCUGUGUGACAUACAGGGAACUGUGCAUGAGAGGACGACACACAAAGACAGGCGGUUCCCUCUGGCUGCUGUGAGGCAAAAGUCUUCUUCAAAGAGACCCACCUUUGAGCGGAGGCCCGCAUGUGCCACUCGAGGUCUGGAGCAUCCUG
Long non-coding RNA from Jaculus jaculus (lesser Egyptian jerboa), 455 nucleotides. RefSeq lists it as uncharacterized. The record is from RefSeq and is a predicted model, not a curated record. Lineage: Eukaryota; Metazoa; Chordata; Mammalia; Rodentia; Dipodidae. The transcript is spliced from 3 exons.